Molecule: ribosomal RNA, 275 nt
Filed under: uncultured prokaryote
Description: partial 16S ribosomal RNA
Rfam family: Bacterial small subunit ribosomal RNA
Source: RNAcentral
UACGUAGGUGGCAAGCGUUGUCCGGAUUUAUUGGGCGUAAAGGGAGCGCAGGUGGUUUCUUAAGUCUGAUGUGAAAGCCCACGGCUUAACCGUGGAGGGUCAUUGGAAACUGGGGAACUUGAAUGCAGAAGAGGAGAGUGGAAUUCCAUGUGUAGCGGUGAAAUGCGUAGAUAUAUGGAGGAACACCAGUGGCGAAGGCGACUCUCUGGUCUGUUAUUGACACUGAGGCCCGAAAGCGUGGGGAGCAAACAGGAUUAGAUACCCGGGUAGUCCCU